GACGAACGCUGGCGGCGUGCUUAACACAUGCAAGUCGAACGGAAAGGCCCUGCUUUUGUGGGGUGCUCGAGUGGCGAACGGGUGAGUAACACGUGAGUAACCUGCCCUUGACUUUGGGAUAACUUCAGGAAACUGGGGCUAAUACCGGGUAGGAGCUCCUGCUGCAUGGUGGGGGUUGGAAAGUUUCGGCGGUUGGGGAUGGACUCGCGGCUUAUCAGCUUGUUGGUGGGGUAGUGGCUUACCAAGGCUUUGACGGGUAGCCGGCCUGAGAGGGUGAACGGCCACAUGGGGACUGAGAUACGGACCAGACUGCUACGGGAGGCAGCAGUGGGGAGUAUUGCACAAUGGGCGGAAGCCUGAUGCAGCAACGCCGCGUGCGGGAUGACGGCCUUCGGGUUGUAAACCGCUUUCGCCUGUGACGAAGCGUGAGUGACGGUAAUGGGUAAAGAAGCACCGGCUAACUACGUG
RNAcentral lists this ribosomal RNA (468 nucleotides) under uncultured bacterium. Its description in RNAcentral is "partial 16S ribosomal RNA". It matches the Rfam family "Bacterial small subunit ribosomal RNA", at positions 28 to 507 of the family's 1533-position model. The record is from RNAcentral.